GGGAAGGUGGCUCAGUGGUAGAGCACUUGCUUUGCAUGCCUGAGGCCCUGGGUUCAAUUCCUCAGCACCCCA
Molecule: non-coding RNA, 72 nt
Organism: Dipodomys ordii (Ord's kangaroo rat)
Lineage: Eukaryota; Metazoa; Chordata; Mammalia; Rodentia; Heteromyidae
Source: Rfam